UACGUAGGGUGCGAGCGUUGCUCGGAAUUACUGGGCGUAAAGCGUGCGCAGGCGGUUCGUUGUGUCCGUCGUGAAAGCCCCGGGCUUAACCUGGGAACUGCGAUGGAAACUAGCGAGCUGGAGUGUGGCAGAGGGGGGUGGAAUUCCGCGUGUAGCAGUGAAAUGCGUAGAGAUGCGGAGGAACACCGAUGGCGAAGGCAGCCCCCUGGGCUAACACUGACGCUCAGGCACGAAAGCGUGGGGAGCAAACAGG
This 253-nucleotide ribosomal RNA is filed under the name uncultured bacterium. Its description in RNAcentral is "partial 16S ribosomal RNA". It matches the Rfam family "Bacterial small subunit ribosomal RNA", at positions 524 to 776 of the family's 1533-position model. The record is from RNAcentral.